GAAUCAUCCAAGAAACUCAACACAAGUAGCAGUGCUCUGGGCACCAUCUAAAUUCAGAGUGAUCUAGAAGCCUCAGAAAUGGUCUGAUAUGAAAAGAAGGUGACAGAAGGUCAGAUCUUCAACUUGAACCCCAAUAUCUGUUUCUGGGUUUUUAUUAUUUGUGCUACAAAGUCUCUCUUCUGGCAAAAGUGAAGCAAGUAGCCUUGGUGGAAAGACUGUAUCCACCAACAAGAUUUGUUAAUUUGUAACUUUCAAGUGGAUGGGUUACCUAUCUCUGCUUUUCAGCAGAGGUAACAGAACUCUCCAGAGGUGGGAUCUUUCAAGGGGGGCACAACCUUGCCUAAACAAUGAACAGGAAGCUCUCUUAACUUUAUAAUACAUCAAGUUAAUUAAGGCGAAAUACACUGUAACUGUAUACGUACAUACGAUA
This is a long non-coding RNA of Myodes glareolus (Bank vole), 430 nucleotides long. RefSeq lists it as uncharacterized. The record is from RefSeq and is a predicted model, not a curated record. NCBI's taxonomy places the organism in Eukaryota, Metazoa, Chordata, Mammalia, Rodentia, Cricetidae.